This 421-nucleotide ribosomal RNA is filed under the name uncultured bacterium. RNAcentral's name for it is "bacterial SSU rRNA". It matches the Rfam family "Bacterial small subunit ribosomal RNA", at positions 355 to 774 of the family's 1533-position model. The record is from RNAcentral.
UAAAGAAUAUUGGUCAAUGGACGCAAGUCUGAACCAGCCAUGCCGCGUGAGGGAUGAAGGUCCUCUGGAUUGUAAACUUCUUUUAUCUGGGACGAAAACGGGAUUUUUAUCUCAAUUGACGGUACCAGAGGAAUAAGCACCGGCUAACUCCGUGCCAGCAGCCGCGGUAAUACGGAGGGUGCGAGCGUUGUUCGGAUUUACUGGGCGUAAAGGGCGCGUAGGCGGCGCGGUAAGUCACUUGUGAAAUCUCUGAGCUUGACUCAGAACGGCCAAGUGAUACUGCUGUGCUAGAGUGCGGAAGAGGCAACCGGAAUUCUUGGUGUAGCGGUGAAAUGCGUAGAUAUCAAGAGGAACACCUGAGGCGAAGGCGGGUUGCUGGGCCGACACUGACGCUGAUGCGCGAAAGCCAGGGGAGCAAACG